GCAUUACUGAUGAAUCCCAAACAGGACGAAACAGCUGUCUAGUGC
This 45-nucleotide non-coding RNA is filed under the name Echinostoma caproni. The record is from RNAcentral. Lineage: Eukaryota; Metazoa; Platyhelminthes; Trematoda; Plagiorchiida; Echinostomatidae.